This 500-nucleotide unclassified non-coding RNA is filed under the name Hevea brasiliensis (rubber tree). Lineage: Eukaryota; Viridiplantae; Streptophyta; Magnoliopsida; Malpighiales; Euphorbiaceae. The record is from RNAcentral.
GGCCAAGAUACACCGGCAACACCACCUGUUCCUCCAAUAGCAAAAUCAUCAGGACUUCCCUUGAAAUCUCUCAUUACUUUUCCAGUUCUUACAUCAAAAAUAUUGAUCACAAUCCUAUUUGCAUCACGGGGAUUGCUGGGCUCAUGACUGCUGUAAGUCACCAGAUAUUUCUCACCAGGAGAAAAAUCAAUUAACUUAACCUGUUGAUGGGCAAAGCGCAUCAGACGGUUAAAGGUACCUGCUCCACCCCAAACUGCAGCACCCUGUCGGUGAAUUGUCGCUAGGUAAGUCCCCAAUGAGGACCACUGCACAAAACUCUCAGUCCAGAAUGUGCGCUUGUAGACAGGCUCAGGCUUCAAAUGCCUAGCAUCGUUCCAGAAGACCUCAGUGUCAGAACCAGAACGAAUAACAAACUGAUCCCGUGCUUUUUCAUCAGUAAGCCACUUUUGAAGAUUUUCCCCAGGAGUAUAUGGGCUAAUUUCAGGAGGGGCCCACUCAUC